Molecule: ribosomal RNA, 451 nt
Filed under: uncultured organism
Description: partial 16S ribosomal RNA
Rfam family: Bacterial small subunit ribosomal RNA
Source: RNAcentral
ACGUACACUCCUGCGGGAGGCAGCAGUGGGGAAUAUUGGACAAUGGGCGAAAGCCUGAUCCAGCAAUGCCGCGUGAGUGAUGAAGGCCUUAGGGUUGUAAAGCUCUUUUACCCGGGAUGAUAAUGACAGUACCGGGAGAAUAAGCCCCGGCUAACUCCGUGCCAGCAGCCGCGGUAAUACGGAGGGGGCUAGCGUUGUUCGGAAUUACUGGGCGUAAAGCGCGCGUAGGCGGCUUUGUAAGUUAGAGGUGAAAGCCCGGAGCUCAACUUCGGAAUUGCCUUUAAGACUGCAUCGCUAGAAUCGUGGAGAGGUGAGUGGAAUUCCGAGUGGAGAGGUGAAAUUCGUAGAUAUUCGGAAGAACACCAGUGGCGAAGGCGACUCACUGGACACGUAUUGACGCUGAGGUGCGAAAGCGUGGGGAGCAAACAGGAUUAGAAACCCGAGUAGUCCC